RNAcentral lists this unclassified non-coding RNA (242 nucleotides) under Hevea brasiliensis (rubber tree). The record is from RNAcentral. Lineage: Eukaryota; Viridiplantae; Streptophyta; Magnoliopsida; Malpighiales; Euphorbiaceae.
GUGGCUUGGUAGAGGGUGGAGGAGAGGGCGGAGCCCGAGGUGAUCUGGUGGAGCUUGCGGGCGCCGAAGUAGUCGACGAGGACGUGGAGGGAGAGGAGGUUUUUGAGGGCGUAGAGGGAGAGGUGCUUGGCGAGGACGGGGGCCAUGGCGGAGUUGUCAAGGGCGAGGACGGUGAUGGUCUCGCGGCGGUUGAUCUCGGCGGCGAGGUGCGUGGCGGAGAGGUAGUGGUUGAAGGUGGAGAA